GUAGCAAUACUUAGUGGCAGACGGGUGAGUAACAUGUAGGUAUCUGCCCUUUGGCCUGGAAUAACACGAGGAAACUUGUGCUAAUACCGGAUAAGUCUUUACGGAGAAAGCUUUAUGCACCAUUGGAUGAGCCUGCACUUGAUUAGUUUGUUGGUGGGGUAAUGGCCUACCAAGACUGUGAUCAAUAGCUGAUUUGAGAGGAUGAUCAGCCACAUUGGGACUGAGACACGGCCCAAACUCCUACGGGAAGCAGCAGUGGGGAAUCUUGCACAAUGGAGGAAACUCUGAUGCAGCGAUGCCGCGUGAGUGAAGAAGGCCCUUGGGUUGUAAAGCUCUUUCGUCGGGGAAGAAAAUGACUGUACCCGAAUAAGAAGGUCCGGCUAACUUCGUGCCAGCAGCCGCGGUAAUACGAAGGGACCUAGCGUAGUUCGGAAUUACAGGGCUUAAAGGGUUCGUAGGUGGUUGAAAAAGUUAGUGGUGAAAUCCCAGAGCUUAACUCUGGAACUGCCAUUAAAACUUUUCAGCUAGAGUAUGAUAGAGGAAAGCAGAAUUUCUAGUGUAGAGGUGAAAUUCGUAGAUAUUAGAAAGAAUACCAAUUGCGAAGGCAGCUUUCUGGAUCAUUACUGACACUGAGGAACGAAAGCAUGGGUAGCGAAGAGGAUUAGAUACCCUCGUAGUCCAUGCCGUAAACGAUGUGUGUUAGACGUUGGAAAUUUAUUUUCAGUGUCGCAGCGAAAGCGAUAAACACACCGCCUGGGGAGUACGAC
Molecule: ribosomal RNA, 767 nt
Filed under: uncultured marine bacterium
Lineage: Bacteria
Description: bacterial SSU rRNA
Rfam family: Bacterial small subunit ribosomal RNA
Source: RNAcentral